This 902-nucleotide unclassified non-coding RNA is filed under the name Rhipicephalus microplus (southern cattle tick). Its description in RNAcentral is "uncharacterized LOC119173543, transcript variant X2". Lineage: Eukaryota; Metazoa; Arthropoda; Arachnida; Ixodida; Ixodidae. The record is from RNAcentral.
AUUUGCUUCCGUUUCCGGCAACUUUUGCCCUUGCGCACUAUACCUAUUCGGACCUGUGCCUCGCGAAGUGCGUUGAUCGAUUCCAAGUCACUACGUGGAGCGACAUUGACAAAAAAGCUUCUGAAUCGACCAUGUUUGUCCCCUUGUCAUUCGUUCUCCUGGCUAUCUCAGCAAGUCUCUUUGAUGAGUUUCGAGGCCAGGUGCUCCCCGAAGGCUGCAAGCAGCAGGAGGAAUGCUACGAGACAGCAACUGAAGAGAUCUUCCAGGUUGUUGAGAAGCAUGACCACAUUCUUCCACUCUGCGAGGCGCUGAAGAAUGAUACGGGCGUCCGAGGCUGUGCUGCUGAGUACGGUAACGGCAGUUGCGACUCUAACCCAUGGAAACAACCGGUGAAUGCCUUGGUGGAGAGCCUUUGCAGCGAGGAAAGCCUGCGUGUUUUCUCGGCGCCUCAGUUGCCUCAAGGCCAGUGCUUCCACCUGAACUUCGCCAUCGAGUGCGUGGCCAAGUCAUUGUUCCAGUACGAAGAGCAUCGGACGAUUUCUUCGCUCAGUUCGCAACGAGACCCUGUGCAGUAGCGUGUCGAUGGACCUAUGGCGCUGCGCUGCCGGUGUCUACGAAGGCUGUAACCAGAAGGAGCCCAUACGGACAGCCCUAAACGAUGUGAUCAAUGCCCUCUUAAAGUCCAUCAGCUGCCAGAACACUAAAAUUGCCGAAGACAUCCACAACGGUGACCAGCGUCCGACGCCACGUGCACCUGCGUCGUCCGGCCGCGUUGGCUGUGAGACCGGAAUGACGCACGUGAAGAACUGUCUGCGUGAAAUCGUCAGCCCAAAUACAGUCGCCAAUGAACUGCUCGAGAAACUGCGCACCCAGCCGAUGGACUACGACGAGGCUUUCUGCAG